Long non-coding RNA from Lolium rigidum, 957 nucleotides. RefSeq lists it as uncharacterized. Lineage: Eukaryota; Viridiplantae; Streptophyta; Magnoliopsida; Poales; Poaceae. The transcript is spliced from 4 exons. The record is from RefSeq and is a predicted model, not a curated record.
CAGCACGGGGCACUUCGUGCCUCCCCCGAGCUGCUCGGCGUGGAGUCUGCGGCCGAGCCCCUCUUCAUCAUCCUCUUGCUUGAGGCGGCCAAGGUCGUCCUCGUCCUCCUCCUCGACAACCACGAUGGGGGCAAGGUCGUCCUCAACAGACGACAUCCUUGACAACCGAAAGAUGAACAAACAAAAGAAGAUUAGAAGACAACCUGAAGAUUGGCCUGCCAGAUCCUCACCACCGAUUACUAUUCUCAUCCAACCGUGACCUCACCAAGCUAGCCUUCUCCGUUCCUUCCUCUCUCUCACACUCUCUCUCACAUGCCUCACAUCUGACCAAGACAUAGGUGAGGACAUGAGUAAACCAACAACGAAGGGUGCCAGUAUCCUUAUGUUGCCGCAUAUCAGAGACGAUGACCUGGAAGGAAGGGAAUUGGACAUGGCAUCUCGAUUCUUUGCAUACUAUUUUAUGAAGAAUUGUACUAAUAAGAUCUGAUCAUCUAAUGUUUUUGUUGAAAGGUGUAGACGGGAAAUAUGCCAGCAACAAUCAAGGCAUGGGAUAGGAGUGAAGAAAGUGAAGAAAUAUAUAAGCCUACCCAUUCUGAACAGAACUUGGCACAGGACAUUUUUUUGAUCAGAGAAAAUAUUCUCCUUUAUCAAAGUGUGCCCAUAUGUUCAAACUAGAGGACCAACCUAGUGGUUACAGUGUGCCGCAGCUGUUGAGAUGGAGACGAGGACUAGGUUCCAACGGUGUGAAGCAGAACCAUUUCCCUAAGGUCUUCCAUCAAACUGAAGCCUGCAUAUAUUGGCUUGAAGAUCAACGACACUUGAUUGGUAGUUAGUUUCCAUGAGAGUGAAUGAUUUUCAUGGUGUCCAUCCGCUGGCAUGCUACGCCUCCCAGUGUAGCCUUCUCGCUGAUUUAGACCCAGCUGUCGCAUCGCAAUUCUUGGUGUUGUCACCACACAA